UUUAACUGAGCGUUCAGUUACUUGACGUAGACCCGAAACCGGGCGACCUACCCAUGAGCAGGAUGAAGCGAAAGUAAAAUUUCGUGGAGGUCCGAACCCACGAGCGUUGAAAAGCUCGGGGAUGACUUGUGGGUAGCGGUGAAAUUCCAAUCGAGCCCGGAGAUAGCUGGUUCUCCCCGAAAUAGCUUUAGGGCUAGCCUCAAGGUGAGAGAUACGGAGGUAGAGCACUGAAUGUCCUAGGGGGUAUUGCACCUACCGAAGACUAUCAAACUCCGAAUGCCGUCAUCUUAUACUUGGGAGUCAGACUGUGGGUGAUAAGAUUCAUAGUCGAAAGGGCAACAGCCCAGAUCGUCAGCUAAGGUCCCUAAAUGUAAGUUAAGUGGUAAAGGAUGUGGGAUUGCACAGACAACCAGGAUGUUGGCUUAGAAGCAGCCACUCAUUCAAAGAGUGCGUAAUAGCUCACUGGUCGAGUGAUCCUGCGCCGAAGAUUUCCGGGGCUAAAACUUACUACCGAAGCUACGGCAUCAGUAAUGAUGGGUAGGGGAGCUUCCCAUACGGGUUGAAGCAUGACCGUAAGGACAUGUGGACAGUAUGGGAGUGAGAAUGUUGGCAUGAGUAGCGAGAUGUGGGUGAGAAUCCCACAGGCCGUAAACCCAAGGUUUCCAGGGGAAGGUUCGUCCGCCCUGGGUUAGUCGGGACCUAAGCUGAGGCCGAAAGGCGUAGGUGAUGGACAACAGGUUGAUAUUCCUGUACUACCGAUAACCGGUUGAGAGAAGGGAUGACACAGUAGGAUAAGCUAAGCACACUGUUGGUUAUGUGUGCCCAAGCAUUGAGGCAGUCAAAGUAGGCAAAUCCGCUUUGAUAAUGCUGGGAUGUGAUGGGGAGCGAAAUUUAGUAGCGAAGUAGCUGAUUUCACACUGUCAAGAAAAGUCUCUAUCGAGGUUAAAGGUACCCGUACCGCAAACCGACACAGGUG
This 976-nucleotide ribosomal RNA is filed under the name Clostridioides difficile. Its description in RNAcentral is "bacterial LSU rRNA". It matches the Rfam family "Bacterial large subunit ribosomal RNA", at positions 683 to 1665 of the family's 2925-position model. Lineage: Bacteria; Bacillati; Bacillota; Clostridia; Peptostreptococcales; Peptostreptococcaceae. The record is from RNAcentral.